RNAcentral lists this ribosomal RNA (411 nucleotides) under Triticum aestivum (bread wheat). Its description in RNAcentral is "partial small subunit ribosomal RNA". The record is from RNAcentral. Lineage: Eukaryota; Viridiplantae; Streptophyta; Magnoliopsida; Poales; Poaceae.
AUGCGAGCUUUGAGAUUAUUUGAUGCAUCGACCAUAGUAUCUGGUUCCACUGACAACUCGUUCAAGCUUUGGGACUUGUCUAUGAAUCAAGCAAGAGUAAUUGACAAUCCAAUUCAGACUUCUACAGGGCAUAUAAAUACAAAGAUUAUUGACAGAUAUUUCUGUGUACUGUCUGCCCAGACACUUCCGAAAGUCGAACAGAAAUGGCGAAGAACUCCCACGAGAGAUGUACACAUUAUUAUGAAUGAUGGGCAGCUAAUCGGCGGAGUUGGUGUUCUUUGCGACAGUGGCAUUGCUGGUGGCUGUAGAGAAAGCUCUCUUAUACAUGUGCACUGUCCGUUAUGCAUUUCUGUAAUGCUGUCUUAUUUUUCCCAGCAGGAAGAUGCAUUUGUGUAUGUGCAUUGCCUGUAA